Molecule: long non-coding RNA, 1224 nt
Organism: Brachypodium distachyon (stiff brome)
Lineage: Eukaryota; Viridiplantae; Streptophyta; Magnoliopsida; Poales; Poaceae
Exons: 3
Source: RefSeq, a predicted model, not a curated record
CACACGAUGCAGGGUCCUGAGCGAAAGCAAAAAAAAUAAAAAAUCCUCAAGCCUCACCGAAAGUUCUGGAGGCAGUCCGCCUGGAUACCUCCACCUCCUCGCGCUCCUUUCCGCCGCCCCUUCAGCUGCCUCCCCCCUCCUCCGGCCUCCCGCCUUCCUCCUCCACCACGACAAGCCCCCACCCUCGCGAAGGACAUCACAAGCAGCAGCACGGCGCCGCCUACUGUCCGGAUCUAUGUCUACGACCUGCGCUGCUUCAACCGCGACUGGCUCACCGCCGACCCGCGGUGCGUGCGCCAUCUCUUCGCCGCCCAUGCGUUUGGUCUACUCGCCCACGCCGUCGAACUCAUGCGCCGGUGGCGCCCUGUUGGAACCGCUCUGCCCGGCGCCGACCACGUCUUCGUCGCGUCCCACGACUUCGGCGCAUGCGUCCACCCCAUAGCGAGUGUCUGCCGCUCUGGCAUUUGCUAAUCCUGCUGUUUUCGCUGCUUGGUGGUCGCGUAUGGGUUAGAUCAGGCGGCGUGCAAGGGCGGGGUGGCACAACGGGGUUAAUUGUUGUUCCUGCUUUGUUCUUAGAGUAAAGUCACGGUGAGGGGGUGGGAAGGUGUUUCAGUAAAGGAAGGAAUCAUGAACCUUCUCUUGAUCUACAUGCCUAGCACACGAAAAUAGCAUCUCAUCUAAAAAUACAAAAACCUUCCCCACAUCUAGCAAAGAGCGGCGGCGCCCAGGGCGACGAGCUCCAGAGCCGCAGCUCCACCGGUCUCCUCCGGCUUCCUCCUCCUGGUUCGUCGUCGAUCCCCUCCCAACCCCGACGGGGUCCUGUGCCUUUGGCGAUCCAUCGAUCUGGCGCUGUUGAAGAUCCCUUCAGGUAGACGGUUGGUUUUGGAGACAGAGAGGGCGGAGCUGCGCGCAGCGCACCAUCUCAGCGACUGCUGUGCUGGCUCAAGAUCGGAACCGGGCGAAUGUGUCUCUUGUUUAGUUUGCUCUCUCUUGCUUGUUGUGUAGCUUGCUGCUCUGUUUAUAUGAAAAAAAAUUAAUGGUUGAAUUGCAUGCUGCUUGACGGGUGUCCCAUUAGCGGUGCUAUAGGUGGCACCUAAACUGUGUACGUGUUCAAACUUGGUGCUAUAGGUGGCACACUACGUGUCGAAACCUUCAUGGUCCACACCGUUUUUGUUUUAUUGCAGGAUCUAAGCAAGCCGGUUAAGAGGCGGCAUGUUUAUCUUU